GAGGAAUAUUGGUCAAUGGACGGAAGUCUGAACCAGCCAAGUAGCGUGCAGGAUGACGGCCCUAUGGGUUGUAAACUGCUUUUGUAUGGGGAUAAAGUUAGGGACGUGUCCCUAUUUGCAGGUACCAUACGAAUAAGGACCGGCUAAUUCCGUGCCAGCAGCCGCGGUAAUACGGAAGGUCCAGGCGUUAUCCGGAUUUAUUGGGUUUAAAGGGAGCGUAGGCUGGAGAUUAAGUGUGUUGUGAAAUGUAGACGCUCAACGUCCGAAUUGCAGCGCAUACUGGUUUCCUUGAGUACGCACAACGUUGGCGGAAUUCGUCGUGUAGCGGUGAAAUGCUUAGAUAUGACGAAGAACUCCGAUUGCGAAGGCAGCUGACGGGAGCGCAACUGACGCUUAAGCUCGAAGGUGCGGGUAUCAAACAGGAUUAGAUACCCUGGUAGUCCGCACAGUAAACGAUGGAUGCCCGCUGUUGGUACCUGGUAUCAGCGGCUAAGCGAAAGCAUUAAGCAUCCCACCUGGGGAGUACGCCGGCAACGGUG
RNAcentral lists this ribosomal RNA (539 nucleotides) under uncultured bacterium. RNAcentral describes it as "bacterial SSU rRNA". It matches the Rfam family "Bacterial small subunit ribosomal RNA", at positions 356 to 896 of the family's 1533-position model. The record is from RNAcentral.